This 355-nucleotide ribosomal RNA is filed under the name uncultured microorganism. Its description in RNAcentral is "bacterial SSU rRNA". It matches the Rfam family "Bacterial small subunit ribosomal RNA", at positions 9 to 359 of the family's 1533-position model. The record is from RNAcentral.
GAGUUUGAUCUUGGCUCAGAGUGAACGCUGGCGGUAGGCCUAACACAUGCAAGUCGAACGGCAGCACAGUAAGAGCGUUGCUCUUAUGGGUGGCGAGUGGCGGACGGGUGAGGAAUACAUCGGAAUCUACUUUUCGUGGGGAUAACGUAGGGAAACUUACGCUAAUACCGCAUACGACCUACGGGUGAAAGCAGGGGAUCUUCGGACCUUGCGCGAUUGAAUGAGCCGAUGUCGGAUUAGCUAGUUGGCGGGGUAAAGGCCCACCAAGGCGACGAUCCGUAGCUGGUCUGAGAGGAUGAUCAGCCACACUGGAACUGAGACACGGUCCAGACUCCUACGGGAGGCAGCAGUGGGG